AGUCUUAAAGUUAAUAAUUUCAAAUUGCAAAUUUGAAAAAGGGUUUUAUUAAGCCCUAAGGCUU
RNAcentral lists this transfer RNA (64 nucleotides) under Staphylinidae sp. BMNH 1274665. Its description in RNAcentral is "tRNA-Cys". Lineage: Eukaryota; Metazoa; Arthropoda; Insecta; Coleoptera; Staphylinidae. The record is from RNAcentral.